CCCAGUGUUCAGACUAGCUGUUC
RNAcentral lists this microRNA (23 nucleotides) under Cricetulus griseus (Chinese hamster). RNAcentral describes it as "cgr-miR-199a-5p". Its record names the gene cgr-miR-199a-5p. Lineage: Eukaryota; Metazoa; Chordata; Mammalia; Rodentia; Cricetidae. The record is from miRBase by way of RNAcentral.